Pangasianodon gigas (Mekong giant catfish) is the source of this 72-nucleotide non-coding RNA. The record is from the annotation of a GenBank genome assembly. Lineage: Eukaryota; Metazoa; Chordata; Actinopteri; Siluriformes; Pangasiidae.
GUCAAAAAAACUCUCCGGAGGUUUCGUCAUUAAGGCAUAAAGCUAACCAGUGCUUGCUUGGCAUGUGUCUUG